AUGUUCUUUAGCACUCCUUUAGGAGCUUCUAGGAAGGAAAGCAUAUACAAGGAAAUGCCACUAAGACAUGAAUUCACUAGGGUAACAGUGCUUUGCACGAUCUGGAGGUCAAGAGCACCCAUGACAUGCAAGGUGUUUGGGUGGUUGGCAGCACACGAUAGAUAUUGGAUGGCCAGGCUAGAGCGGCGUGGGCUUCCGCACCCAAUAGAUUGUCCAUUUUGUGACCAACAACUUGAGAACCUUCAACCCAUUCUUCUUGGGUGUGUGCUUGCAAAGGAGGUGUGGUCAGUUAUCCUCGGGGAUUGGGGAAAGCUUGAGUGGAUCCCAACAAUGGACAAUGACCUGGUGUAUUGGUGGACAAGAAAGGAAGCUGCGGGAUGGCUCACUAGUGACAUUCAAAUGACCAUCUUGCUUGUUUUAUGGAGCCUUUGGACGCACAAGAACAAUGUGGUGUUCAAUGGCAUGACCCUAGGGAGAUGGAUGUAG
RNAcentral lists this ribosomal RNA (486 nucleotides) under Triticum aestivum (bread wheat). Its description in RNAcentral is "partial small subunit ribosomal RNA". The record is from RNAcentral. Lineage: Eukaryota; Viridiplantae; Streptophyta; Magnoliopsida; Poales; Poaceae.